RNAcentral lists this transfer RNA (89 nucleotides) under Salinisphaeraceae bacterium. RNAcentral describes it as "tRNA-Ser". It matches the Rfam family "tRNA". Rfam says of the family: Transfer RNA (tRNA) molecules are approximately 80 nucleotides in length. Their secondary structure includes four short double-helical elements and three loops (D, anti-codon, and T loops). Lineage: Bacteria; Pseudomonadati; Pseudomonadota; Gammaproteobacteria; Salinisphaerales; Salinisphaeraceae. The record is from RNAcentral. RNAcentral also lists the same sequence under 2 other names.
GGAGAGGUGGCAGAGUGGUCGAAUGCACCGGUCUUGAAAACCGGCAGGGGUUUUGCCCCUCGUGGGUUCGAAUCCCACCCUCUCCGCCA